CCUACGGGAGGCAGCAGUGAGGAAUAUUGGUCAAUGGACGAGAGUCUGAACCAGCCAAGUAGCGUGAAGGAUGACUGCCCUAUGGGUUGUAAACUUCUUUUAUAUGGGAAUAAAAUGUUCCACGUGUGGGAUUUUGUAUGUACCAUAUGAAUAAGGAUCGGCUAACUCCGUGCCAGCAGCCGCGGUAAUACGGAGGAUCCGAGCGUUAUCCGGAUUUAUUGGGUUUAAAGGGAGCGUAGGUGGAUUGUUAAGUCAGUUGUGAAAGUUUGCGGCUCAACCGUAAAAUUGCAGUUGAAACUGACAGUCUUGAGUACAGUAGAGGUGGGCGGAAUUCGUGGUGUAGCGGUGAAAUGCUUAGAUAUCACGAAGAACUCCGAUUGCGAAGGCAGUUCACUGGACUGCAACUGACACUGAGGCUCGAAAGUGUGGGUAUCAAACAGGAUUAGAUACCCCAGUAGUC
RNAcentral lists this ribosomal RNA (460 nucleotides) under uncultured bacterium. Its description in RNAcentral is "partial 16S ribosomal RNA". It matches the Rfam family "Bacterial small subunit ribosomal RNA", at positions 338 to 795 of the family's 1533-position model. The record is from RNAcentral.